CUUGUACUCCCUCCAUCCCAUAUUAAGUGCCGAAAUAUUACAUGUAUCUAGACACUUUUUAGGUAUAGAUACAUCCAUAUUUGGGCAAAUUUGAGUCACUUAAUAUGGGACAGAGGGAGCAAUUG
Non-coding RNA from Brachypodium distachyon (stiff brome), 125 nucleotides. NCBI's taxonomy places the organism in Eukaryota, Viridiplantae, Streptophyta, Magnoliopsida, Poales, Poaceae. The record is from Rfam.